UAUAAACACAAACUUGAUAAUUAGUGAUGUAACAAUAAAUCAUGACCGAUAGCAAAAUUAACUGAUUAUGAAUAGAAGGAAUGAAUUAUGGUAUAUAGCAUAAAUGAAUGGAAUGAACUAGAAAAGGAUGGAAAAUUAUAGAUUCAGUCAAGAGUGUGGUUUCUGUUGAAUGUAUCACAUUAACUUUAAUGACGUCAUUGGAAGGCAAUAAAGUGCUGGACAGAAAACAUCUACACAAAGGCAUAAACACAAUUUCUCACAAAGAUUUGUCAGUUUUAAUAAUUAUAAUAAUAGUUUAGAUUUUUAUUAGAAACUAAGGCUAGGUUUAGUGGUUUACACAUCUUGAUAGAACUCUAUGGAAACAAAAGUGGUGUUCAAAGUGUAUCGUUUUAAAAACUAUUCGUUUUGUGUUGCUGUGUAAACCCAACCUAAGCUAUGAUUUACAAUUAUUAGUUGAAUUUCACAGUCGAUCUGUGGGCUCAAUGUAGCAUGCAAACAUCAACAGUCCAUCAACAUCAUGUUUGUAUAAUUAUGCCUGCAUUGACAGAGCACAUGCACAGUAAACAUGCAAUAUUUUUAAUUAUUAUUAUAUUUCUGAUAAGCCAUUUUUUAAUCUCUUAUUAUUUUUCAGUAAUACUCUACAAAAUACAACUAAACUCAAUAAUUUAUUAAUUCAAUGAAUUUGAAAAUACAACAAGAAGUACUUUAA
Amphimedon queenslandica is the source of this 709-nucleotide long non-coding RNA. RefSeq lists it as uncharacterized. The transcript is spliced from 2 exons. Lineage: Eukaryota; Metazoa; Porifera; Demospongiae; Haplosclerida; Niphatidae. The record is from RefSeq and is a predicted model, not a curated record.